UUGUGAGUAAAUCCUUCCCGAAAAGGAUGAGGCCGCCUUGAGGCGGGUGGGACGAAGUAGGGAAGGGAUCACCA
This is a non-coding RNA of Methanoculleus marisnigri, 74 nucleotides long. The record is from Rfam. Lineage: Archaea; Methanobacteriati; Methanobacteriota; Methanomicrobia; Methanomicrobiales; Methanomicrobiaceae.